GGAGGAGGACGACGUCCCUCCCGAGGAGAAGAGGCUGCGCCUGGGGCUGGAGGGGGGAAGCGCACAGCCCGAGGACUGCGAGGACGGGGAGGACGCGCCGCGGCCGGGCAGGGAGGAGACCGGCACCCAGACAGGUGGCGACGGCAGAGGAGUGCAGCGGCUCACAUUUGUAAUCCCAGCACUUUGGGAGGCCGAGGCUGCUGGAUCACCUAAGGUCAGGAGUUCGAGACCAGCCUGGCCAACACGGCGAAACUGUCUCUACUAAAAAUACAGAAAUUAGCCAGGUGUGAUGGCACACACCUGUAAUCCCAGCUACUUGGGAGGCUGAGGCAGGAGAAUCAUUUGAACUUGGGAGACAGAGGUUGCAGUCAGCCGAGAUCGCACCACUGCACUUCAGCCAGCCUGGGUGACAGGGCGAGACUCUCUUUCAAAAAUAAAUAAAUAAAAUAGAA
Molecule: long non-coding RNA, 452 nt
Filed under: Pongo abelii (Sumatran orangutan)
Lineage: Eukaryota; Metazoa; Chordata; Mammalia; Primates; Hominidae
Description: lincRNA
Source: RNAcentral